UACGUAGGGUCCAAGCGUUGUCCGGAGUUACUGGGCGUAAAGCGCGCGCAGGCGGUCGCGUUGGCCCGGCGUGAAAGCCCCCGGCUCAACCGGGGAGGGUCGUCGGGGACCGCGCGACUUGAGGUCGGCAGGGGCCGGUGGAAUGCCCGGUGUAGUGGUGAAAUGCGUAGAGAUCGGGCGGAACACCCGUGGCGAAGGCGGCCGGCUGGGCCGUACCUGACGCUGAGGCGCGAAGGCGUGGGGAGCGAACGGG
RNAcentral lists this ribosomal RNA (253 nucleotides) under uncultured bacterium. RNAcentral describes it as "partial 16S ribosomal RNA". It matches the Rfam family "Bacterial small subunit ribosomal RNA", at positions 524 to 776 of the family's 1533-position model. The record is from RNAcentral.